GAGAUGGGUUCCUAGGGAUGGUAAGGUAAAAUCACCUCCAAAGGUGAGUGGGGAGAAGGCUUCAAUUUUUAGAUCAGGACCAGAGACUACUGGGAAUAAGCAAAUGAAGAAUAUUAACCAUGCUUCUGAGGAGAGGAAAAUUAUUCCUCCACCUAAUACAAAUGACAAUAGACCUUCUAGAAGUUGCACUCCAGCAUCUGUUAAUGCGCCUGAACAGGUGGAUACAAAUUUUCUUUUGCUUUUCUCUAGCUGACCAUCAAUAUUUAGAUUUCGUCUCUCUGUAUUUAUUGUUCGAUCUAUAAGUACCUAUUUUAUAUAUGAAUGAACUAAUAAAAAUCAUGGUGGACAAUGAGAAACUGUUCUAAUUUGCUUAGCUUUAAUGUUACCAUUUUUAAUUUUUGGGUGUUAAUGCGAUAAGGAAAAUUGAUGCAAGUUUUCAAAUAUGUAUUGCUAUAUUCGUUGUUUGGCAAGUUGGAGAGAACUUGGGGACAAUAAAACAGUGUGCUUCUGUAUAAAUCUGUCCAAAUACUUUGAGAACACAGAAAUGCAAAUUUAUGUCUGAAGAUGAGUCUCAUAGAUUUUUAAUUGAUUGUUAGAGUUCUGCACAGUAAUUGCAUUGGAGGAUUAAUUGGGGAGCCAUUCAACUAUAAGAUGUCUGCACAACCAGUUGCUUGAGAGAGUAUAAUGGGCAAUUGUUUAUCAUGCUUUUUCUUAUUAAGUAUAUUAUCAUGUAUGUCUGACUUAGUGACCGUAUUCAGGGAUCUAUUUUGUUUUUUAAGCUGGAUUCUAUUUGAAUACAGAUGAACUAAUAAACUGGA
This 818-nucleotide unclassified non-coding RNA is filed under the name Hevea brasiliensis (rubber tree). Lineage: Eukaryota; Viridiplantae; Streptophyta; Magnoliopsida; Malpighiales; Euphorbiaceae. The record is from RNAcentral.